RNAcentral lists this long non-coding RNA (740 nucleotides) under Homo sapiens (human). RNAcentral's name for it is "non-protein coding lnc-FAM181B-1:1". The record is from RNAcentral. Lineage: Eukaryota; Metazoa; Chordata; Mammalia; Primates; Hominidae.
CCUAGUUUGGGAUUGGGUGGGAAGACCUCAUAAAAUAGUGAAGGGUAGACUGAGUCUUGAAUGACCUAAACAAAUAUAUAGAUAUAAUUGGCCAGCCCUCAGCUGGUCUCUGAUUAUGACCCGACCUGCUGAGAUAAAAUCCAGUGCAUCCUGUGCUACCUUGUUCAUGUCCCAGGAUUCAGUGACUUUGGGCAACUGAGGCUGUACAGGAAGCAUGGCUGGAGAGGCCCCAGGAAACUUACAAUCAUGGUGGAAAGCAAAGGGGAAGCAGACUGUACAGGAAGCAUGGCUGGGAGGCUUCAGGAAUUUACAAUCAUGGCAGAAGGCAAAGAGGAAACAAGCACAUCUUCUCAUGGUCAGCAGGAGAGAGAGAGUGAAGGGGUGCUGGUGAUGCAAUCAGACAAGUUCUCUGCUGUUCUGGAGUUUACAUUUGGAAGAAUUGUGUUAUAUACCAGGGAAGGAUGUGGUAACUCUCCUGAAACCUUCCCUUGGUCAUUGUCUUCUUCUUCUUCUCCUCCUCCCUUUUCUCCCUCUCUUCCCCCUCCUCCUUCUCCUCUUAUUCUUCUUCCUCCUUCUGUUUUUAAAUGAGGAAGCCCAUAGAAAAUAUUGUGACAGGGAGAAAUGGAUUUUAAAUAAGUAUGACUGAAAAAAAACUUUUACUAUAAUAGAAAAUCUUGGUGCUGAGGGAAGAAAUCCAAAAAAUUAAAAAUCUUCAGAAGGUAUGUCUUUGAACAGACAAA